Molecule: transfer RNA, 69 nt
Filed under: Rattus norvegicus (Norway rat)
Lineage: Eukaryota; Metazoa; Chordata; Mammalia; Rodentia; Muridae
Rfam family: tRNA
About the family: Transfer RNA (tRNA) molecules are approximately 80 nucleotides in length.
Source: Rfam by way of RNAcentral
GGGGAUUUGGCUCAGUGGUAGAGUGCUUGCCUAGGAAGCACAAGGUCCUGGGUUCAGUACCCAGCCCCG